RNAcentral lists this ribosomal RNA (497 nucleotides) under uncultured bacterium. Its description in RNAcentral is "partial 16S ribosomal RNA". It matches the Rfam family "Bacterial small subunit ribosomal RNA", at positions 28 to 507 of the family's 1533-position model. The record is from RNAcentral.
GACGAACGCUGGCGGCGUGCCUAAUACAUGCAAGUAGAACGCUGAAGAGAGGAGCUUACUCUUCUUGGAUGAGUUGCGAACGGGUGAGUAACGCGUAGGUAACCUGCCUUGUAGCGGGGGAUAACUAUUGGAAACGAUAGCUAAUACCGCAUAACAAUGGAUGACACAUGUCAUUUAUUUGAAAGGGGCAAUUGCUCCACUACAAGAUGGACCUGCGUUGUAUUAGCUAGUAGGUGAGGUAAUGGCUCACCUAGGCGACGAUACAUAGCCGACCUGAGAGGGUGAUCGGCCACACCGGGACUGAGACACGGCCCAGACUCCUACGCGAGGCAGCAGUAGGGAAUCUUCGGCAAUGGGGGCAACCCUGACCGAGCAACGCCGCGUGAGUGAAGAAGGUUUUCGGAUCGUAAAGCUCUGUUGUAAGUCAAGAACGGGUGUGAGAGUGGAAAGUUCACACUGUGACGGUAGCUUACCAGAAAGGGCCGGCUAACUACGUG